GCCCAGUUUAACCAUUCCAGGAGAGUAUAAAUGUCAGCUGCUCUAGUCUUGGCUGCGUUACCACCGACCAGUCCUCAGCCGGCAACAUGAAGCUGGGUGGCCUCUGCCUCCUGCUCCUCCUCGCCGUCCUUCUCACCCUCAAUGCAGAGUUCCAAGCAGUUGAUGUAGGUAUCUGUGUGACGGAGUGCCGUGUAGACCAGGACUGUGGGGAAGGAAGACUAUGCAUCAGUAAUGGGUGUGGCCGUGUCUGCUUCCCAGGGCGAAGAGAGGCCUGCGAGCACCAGUGCAGAGAAGACAGGGACUGUGGGAGUGGACAUCAGUGCGUGAGGAAGGGCUGUGGGCACGUCUGCGCCCCCGUCCAUCAAGUCGAUGUAGGUAUCUGUGUGACGGAGUGCCGUGUAGACCAGGACUGUGGGGAAGGAAGACUAUGCAUCAGUAAUGGGUGUGGCCGUGUCUGCUUCCCAGGGCGAAGAGAGGGCUGCGAGCACCAGUGCAGAGAAGACAGGGACUGUGGGAGUGGACAUCAGUGCGUGAGGAAGGGCUGUGGGCACGUCUGCGCCCCCGUCCAUCAAGUCGGUAUCUGUGUGACGGAGUGCAACGUAGACCAGGACUGUGGGGAAGGAAGACAAUGCACCAGCAAUGGAUGUGGCCGGGUCUGCUCCCCAGUCCGGCGAGAAGAUGUAGGUAUCUGUGUGACGGAGUGCAAGGUAGACCAGGACUGUGGGGAAGGAAGACGAUGCACCAGCAAUGGGUGUGGCCGUGUCUGCUCCCCAGUCCAGCAAAAAGAGGCCUGCGAGCACCAGUGCAGAGAAGACAGGGACUGUGGGAGUGGACAUCAGUGCGUGAGGAAGGGCUGUGGGCACGUCUGCGCCCCCGUCCAUCAAGUCGAUGUAGGUAUCUGUGUGACGGAGUGCCGUGUAGACCAGGACUGUGGGGAAGGAAGACAAUGCACCAGCAAUGGAUGUGGCCGUGUCUGCUCCCCAGCCCAGCAAAGAGAGGCCUGCGAGCACCAAUGCAGAGAAGACAAGGACUGUGGGAGUGGACAUCAGUGCGUGAGGAAGGGCUGUGGGCACGUCUGCUCCCCCAUCCCUCAAGUAGGUAUCUGUGUGACGGAGUGCAAUGUAGACCAGGACUGUGGGGCAGGAAGACGAUGCACCAGCAAUGGAUGUGGCCGGGUCUGCUCCCCACCCCAGGGAGGAGGACUCUGUGUGGACCGCUGCCGAGGAAACUGGGACUGUGGGGCCGGAGAAGAAUGUAUCAGGAAGGGAUGUGGACGGGUCUGCUCUCCAGCCCAGGAGCCAGUGGUAGGUAUCUGUGUGGAUCAGUGCCAAAGACACUGGGAAUGUGGUCCACGGAUGCGGUGUGUCUCCACUGGAUGUGGCCACAUCUGCUCACCAGCCCAAGACCAAGGUAAGAGGUGCAAGCCUUGCCUUCCAAGCCCCUGACUGACUGAAUGCUUGGCUCUG
RNAcentral lists this long non-coding RNA (1466 nucleotides) under Sus scrofa (pig). Its description in RNAcentral is "lncRNA (ENSSSCG00065071021.1)". Lineage: Eukaryota; Metazoa; Chordata; Mammalia; Artiodactyla; Suidae. The record is from RNAcentral.